This 819-nucleotide long non-coding RNA is filed under the name Homo sapiens (human). RNAcentral describes it as "non-protein coding lnc-SELENOS-2:1". The record is from RNAcentral. Lineage: Eukaryota; Metazoa; Chordata; Mammalia; Primates; Hominidae.
GGUUGCCAGCACUUCAGUUAGACUUGACACAGAACAGCUGGAUUUCUAGCUUCCCUUUAAACCCGGCUGCACUGGGCCUGUGUGGCACGUCCUGGUCCCCCCGAGCUCCAUCCCUUCUGGCUUACAUCCACCUUGUCCCUGACAAAAGGGUGAGAAAACCACUUCUCUGUAAUGAACUGAAACGCUGCCUAAGUCCGAAUGGGAAGUUGUCGCUCUGUAGCAGUGAUGGUCUGUAGCUGAGGCUGAACCGUGUACGUGCUGAAGGACAGUCAUGUAAACAGUUAACAGGAAGAACGAGGACUUAAUGAGAAUGUUGGCUCUCCUUGCAGCGGACAAGAAGGACAUUUGCUAAUGAAGACUGUGGAAGGUAUUUGUUAACCAAAGAUUAGAUAUGGGUAGUUGAUGGUUAUUCCCAGCUGGGCUAGAAGUUCCUGGGAAUAGCGUGACCUUGGUAUUAGCCCCUCUCAGAUUCACUGGAGAAUGACGCAGAGCCCUGAAACAUCUCACAGGAAGGGAGAUGGCUUUGCUGGAGUUGAAGGAUAUGGAGGCACUUUUUAUAACAAAGAUUAAGGGUUGUUUCAUGGACAGUGGAAAUUAAAUGAAGUCAUCAGUGCCACUAUAAGCAUCUUAAGAAGGUUUCUUUGCUGAGUUUUUUUUAAGCAAGGAAUACUCUUGUGAGUAUUAAGUUAACCUGUCUAGAUUGAGUUGUGUUUUCUUCUGCAGUACUUCUAACUUUCUGUUUUAUAAUAUUCUUCUAGGUGAUGUGCCAAAUUAUAGAUUAUUGAAAUACCUUAUAAUAAAAUCCUCUUAAACUUUGAA